Molecule: transfer RNA, 119 nt
Rfam family: tRNA
About the family: Transfer RNA (tRNA) molecules are approximately 80 nucleotides in length. Their secondary structure includes four short double-helical elements and three loops (D, anti-codon, and T loops).
Source: Rfam
GGUUGUUUGGCCGAGCGGUCUAAGGCGCCUGAUUCAAGUUGAAAAAUACUUACUGGGUUAACAAACUCAGGAGCACUCAGGUAUCGUAAGAUGCAAGAGUUCGAAUCUCUUAGCAACCA